RNAcentral lists this microRNA (21 nucleotides) under Heligmosomoides polygyrus. RNAcentral describes it as "hpo-miR-10022-3p". Lineage: Eukaryota; Metazoa; Nematoda; Chromadorea; Rhabditida; Heligmosomidae. The record is from miRBase by way of RNAcentral.
CCUUUCGUCGAGUGUCAUGGC